GAGCUGAACCAACAGAUUCACUUCGGUGAUGACGUUGGGAACGCGAGCGGCGGAUGGGUGAGUAACACGUGGGGAACCUGCCCCAUAGUCUGGGAUACCACUUGGAAACAGGUGCUAAUACCGGAUAAGAAAGCAGAUCGCAUGAUCAGCUUAUAAAAGGCGGCGUAAGCUGUCGCUAUGGGAUGGCCCCGCGGUGCAUUAGCUAGUUGGUAGGGUAACGGCCUACCAAGGCAAUGAUGCAUAGCCGAGUUGAGAGACUGAUCGGCCACAUUGGGACUGAGACACGGCCCAAACUCCUACGGGAGGCAGCAGUAGGGAAUCUUCCACAAUGGACGAAAGUCUGAUGGAGCAACGCCGCGUGAGUGAAGAAGGUUUUCGGAUCGUAAAGCUCUGUUGUUGGUGAAGAAGGAUAGAGGUAGUAACUGGCCUUUAUUUGACGGUAAUCAACCAGAAAGUCACGGCUAACUACGUGCCAGCAGCCGCGGUAAUACGUAGGUGGCAAGCGUUGUCCGGAUUUAUUGGGCGUAAAGCGAGCGCAGGCGGAAGAAUAAGUCUGAUGUGAAAGCCCUCGGCUUAACCGAGGAACUGCAUCGGAAACUGUUUUUCUUGAGUGCAGAAGAGGAGAGUGGAACUCCAUGUGUAGCGGUGGAAUGCGUAGAUAUAUGGAAGAACACCAGUGGCGAAGGCGGCUCUCUGGUCUGCAACUGACGCUGAGGCUCGAAAGCAUGGGUAGCGAACAGGAUUAGAUACCCUGGUAGUCCAUGCCGUAAACGAUGAGUGCUAAGUGUUGGGAGGUUUCCGCCUCUCAGUGCUGCAGCUAACGCAUUAAGCACUCCGCCUGGGGAGUACGACCGCAAGGUUGAAACUCAAAGGAAUUGACGGGGGCCCGCACAAGCGGUGGAGCAUGUGGUUUAAUUCGAAGCAACGCGAAGAACCUUACCAGUCUUGACAUCUAGUGCAAUCCGUAGAG
Molecule: ribosomal RNA, 970 nt
Filed under: Lactobacillus acidophilus
Lineage: Bacteria; Bacillati; Bacillota; Bacilli; Lactobacillales; Lactobacillaceae
Description: bacterial SSU rRNA
Rfam family: Bacterial small subunit ribosomal RNA
Source: RNAcentral